CCUGUGGAGUGUCAAACAAACCGUAGUAGAUAUAUAUCGAGGCGGGACACGUUGAAGCAGGAA
RNAcentral lists this non-coding RNA (63 nucleotides) under Petrotoga mobilis SJ95. Its description in RNAcentral is "RAGATH-18 RNA". It matches the Rfam family "RAGATH-18 RNA". Rfam says of the family: Actinobacteria, Firmicutes, Fusobacteria, Thermotogae (1 example). Nearby to self-cleaving ribozyme genes Lineage: Bacteria; Thermotogati; Thermotogota; Thermotogae; Petrotogales; Petrotogaceae. The record is from Rfam by way of RNAcentral.